Podarcis lilfordi (Lilford's wall lizard) is the source of this 70-nucleotide non-coding RNA. NCBI's taxonomy places the organism in Eukaryota, Metazoa, Chordata, Lepidosauria, Squamata, Lacertidae. The record is from the annotation of a GenBank genome assembly.
GGCCAUAGCUCAAUGGUAGAGCAUCUACUUUGCACUCCAGAAGCCAUGGGUUCAAUCCCUGCUGGCAUCU